RNAcentral lists this ribosomal RNA (478 nucleotides) under uncultured bacterium. RNAcentral's name for it is "partial 16S ribosomal RNA". It matches the Rfam family "Bacterial small subunit ribosomal RNA", at positions 28 to 507 of the family's 1533-position model. The record is from RNAcentral.
GACGAACGCUGGUGGCGUGCUUAACACAUGCAAGUCGAACGGGAUUUAGUAAACAGAAGCCUCGGUGGAAGAUUACUAAUGAGAGUGGCGAACGGGUGAGUAACGCGUGAGCAACCUGCCUAUGACAGUGGGAUAGCCUCGGGAAACCGGGAUUAAUACCGCAUAAAAUCGUAGAAACACAUGUUUUAACGGUAAAAGAUUUAUCGGUCAUAGAUGGGCUCGCGUCUGAUUAGCUAGUUGGUGAGAUAACAGCCCACCAAGGCGACGAUCAGUAGCCGGUCUGAGAGGAUGAACGGCCACAUUGGAACUGAGACACGGUCCAAACUCCUACGGGAGGCAGCAGUGGGGAAUAUUGCACAAUGGGGGAAACCCUGAUGCAGCGACGCCGCGUGAACGAAGAAGGUAUUCGUAUCGUAAAGUUCUGUCCUAUGGGAAGAUAAUGACAGUACCAUAGAAGAAAGCUCCGGCUAAAUACGUG